CAAUUAUUACUAUCAAAAAUAUUCAUGUUCUGUUUGUAUUUUUUCCAUAAUUGUUUCAAAAUAUAAUUGUGUUAAUUUCUUUCUUUUUAUGAGAUCUCAACCCUUGCUGAAACUUGACAACAACAUAAGAAGCCAAGAUCAACAAUACUUGGAACUACAUCAUCAUGUAUAAUCAAAGAACAUGUACUGUCAGAAUCGGAUCAAUCCAUAUGAGAACCAAUCUUAACUUGAUGCCUACAUGUAUAUACAAUGUGUUGUCAGAAUCCAUCCACUUUAGAAGUCAAAGAUCAAUUAUAAUUUAGAAGUGCAUGCUAUAGUGCUGGCAAAUUCCAUAAACAAAUUUAAGAUCACAAAAGGACCUACUUUACCUACCUAUCCCAAUAAUGAAUACAGAUUAUUGGUUCUUGUUAAAAAAAACACUGAAGAAGAAUAUUGACAUAUAAAUAAUGAAAAUAUAGAACUGAUCAGCUAAGUAUUGUACUUGUACAUGAUGUAUAUAUGUCAACAAUUACUAGUAUAUUGAAAUUAACAAUGUUAAUAAGUGUCUUAUAAAUUUGAUCUCAUAGCUAUAGACAUAUGAGGAAUAAAAAUAAAAAAUCUUUCAAAAAAU
RNAcentral lists this long non-coding RNA (610 nucleotides) under Mytilus galloprovincialis (Mediterranean mussel). The record is from RNAcentral. Lineage: Eukaryota; Metazoa; Mollusca; Bivalvia; Mytilida; Mytilidae.